AGAGUUUGAUCCUGGCUCAGAUUGAACGCUGGCGGCAUGCCUAACACAUGCAAGUCGAACGGCAGCACAGCAGUAGCAAUACUGUGGGUGGCGAGUGGCGGACGGGUGAGUAAUGCAUCGGGAUCUACCCAAACGUGGGGGAUAACGUAGGGAAGCUUACGCUAAUACCGCAUACGUCCUAAGGGAGAAAGCGGGGGCUCGCAAGACCUCGCGCGGUUGGACGAACCGAUGUGCGAUUAGCUAGUUGGUAGGGUAAUGGCCUACCAAGGCGACGAUCGCUAGCUGGUCUGAGAGGAUGAUCAGCCACACUGGGACUGAGACACGGCCCAGACUCCUACGGGAGGCAGCAGUGGGGAAUAUUGGACAAUGGGCGCAAGCCUGAUCCAGCAAUGCCGCGUGUGUGAAGAAGGCCUUCGGGUUGUAAAGCACUUUUAUCAGGAGCGAAAUACUACCGGCUAAUAUCCGGUGGGGCUGACGGUACCUGAGGAAUAAGCACCGGCUAACUUCGUGCCAGCAGCCGCGGUAAUACGAAGGGUGCAAGCGUUAAUCGGAAUUACUGGGCGUAAAGGGUGCGUAGGCGGUUCGUUAAGUCUGUCGUGAAAUCCCCGGGCUCAACCUGGGAAUGGCGAUGGAUACUGGCGAGCUAGAGUGUGUCAGAGGAUGGUGGAAUUCCCGGUGUAGCGGUGAAAUGCGUAGAGAUCGGGAGGAACAUCAGUGGCGAAGGCGGCCAUCUGGGACAACACUGACGCUGAAGCACGAAAGCGUGGGGAGCAAACAGGAUUAGAUACCCUGGUAGUCCACGCCCUAAAACGAUGCGAACUGGAUGUUGGUCUCAACUCGGAGAUCAGUGUCGAAGCUAACGCGUUAAGUUCGCCGCCUGGGGAGUACGGUCGCAGACUGAACUCAAGGAUUGACGGGGCCCGCACAGCGGUGGAGUAUGUGGUUUAAUUCGAUGCACGCGAAGAACCUUACCUGGCCUUGACAUG
RNAcentral lists this ribosomal RNA (986 nucleotides) under uncultured bacterium. Its description in RNAcentral is "bacterial SSU rRNA". It matches the Rfam family "Bacterial small subunit ribosomal RNA", at positions 8 to 988 of the family's 1533-position model. The record is from RNAcentral.